Molecule: long non-coding RNA, 9629 nt
Filed under: Xyrichtys novacula (pearly razorfish)
Lineage: Eukaryota; Metazoa; Chordata; Actinopteri; Labriformes; Labridae
Source: RNAcentral
CAUUGGAAUGUGGCUAUCUCCUCCUAAGGCUUUCGUCCCACCGAUACCAAAUUUGCUCAGGGCAAUCUACACCCCAUGCCCAUUCAAAGUUGUAAAAAUCAUGACGCUGCACCCCACGGUUUACGUUCUAGGGGGCGCCAAAGAUGACCCAAAAAUCCACAUUCUUAAAAGUCAUUUUGGCCACUGCAGGAGUACAGAGUACUGCAGUUCUAGGGGGCGCCAAAGAUGACCCAAAAAUCCACAUUCUUAAAAGUCUUUUUGGCCACUGCAGGAGUACAGAGUACUGCAGGAUACACACACAUAUACACACACGCCAACAUACACACACACACACACACACACACACACACACACACACACACACACACACACAGACACACACCCACACUCAGAGUCUGUUUUUUAGCACCUGCAAAAACAUGCUGUUUACAUAUUUGACAAGAAUGCAGAGGCUUCCUUUUGCCCCUGAAAAAAAUCAAAUUUCAAACACAACUUGACGUUUCAUUUCUCCAAAAGACAACCAUGAAGCUCCAUUUCAAACCUGAAGCAGAUAGUUGGUGCAUGUGUACAGUAACCUGAGGGGAGUGAGGUGACUAUUUCUGAGGAGAACAUGAGCAGUGAAGAUUCACCUUGGAGCUAGAACAGGGACGUGCACAUGAUUAUACAGGGGCAGGGGCUCAAGUUUUUUCCAGUCAUUUAUACAAUAUGGAAAUUAAUGUGAAAUUAAACCACAAAUAUGUGUGAUGAACUGUUUUUAAAACUUAAACUUCAAAUAAAAAUUGUAAACUUCAAAACAUAUGCAAAUUUUUAACAAAGAACAUAGUAAUUUACCUCUAUUUACAUCAAAAUGCAGGCAAUGGCCCAGGCGUUCUUUGUAAAAUUAUUUACAAAACACUGUAUAGUCUCACAAAUGUCACUUUUUAUUUAUGCCACUACAAAAAAACAUGAUGUAAAUGAUGCAUGAUGUAAAACAUGAUGUAAAAAACUUGUGUAGAUCCUCCUCUAUGUCAGUCCAUGUGUAAUUUUUCCAUAAUUCUUUGUUUUUGCAGCAUUUUUGUUAGUGUAACUGCAGAUUGUGCUGACAGUGUCUAUGGCACAAAAAAAAAAAAAAAUUAAAAUGCCUCAACAUGAACCCCUGGUGGUCUCUGAGGGUGAAACCUGCUAACUGCUGCAGCUCUGUCAGCUUCAGUCUCCCAUGCAGAGCUCUGAGCGCAUGUGUGGCUCUGCACCCUUAGCAGCGUUGCUAACUCCUCAGUAAGGAAAGCCUGCUUCAUGUCAGAGUCUCUAAACUCCAGAAGAAGUCGAUAAAAGUCCCUUUCUUUCUAAAAAAAAGUCGUUAGGGGGUCUGAAAAGUCAUUGAAUCUAACAACAAAGUCGCUAGGUUUGCAACUACGUGUCCCAGACUGCAUCCCUGCUGAGAGUCCCUCCCUCCCUUCUCAUGUUGCAGGAAGAACGUAAGCGCCCGCCCCUUGUCAAUCAGUCACCAUAUAAUUUUGGAUUGGGGAAAUUUUGCUAAACAAUGUGACAAUCACGUGCCUUGCCUGGUAUCAUUUUUUUCAGCACAACCUCACCUGUGCGAAUUUACAGUUAUUUUAUCAUGUUGACAUACUGAAUUUACACAAUGGACCCAAAUUCACACACAAAACAUAAAAUCCGAGUGGAAAAAAGUAACAUUUUUACUGUGAAAACCACAAAUAUGUGUGAUGAACUGUUUUUAAAACUUAAACUUCAAAUAAAAAUUGUAAACUUCAAAACAUAUGCAAAUUUUUAACAAAGAACAUAGUGAUUUACCUCUAUUUACAUCAAAAUGCAGGCAAUGGCCCAGGCGUUCUUUGUAAAAUUAUUUACAAAACACUGUAUAGUCUCACAAAUGUCACUUUUUAUUUAUGCCACUACAAAAAAACAUGAUGUAAAUGAUGCAUGAUGUAAAACAUGAUGUAAAAAACUUGUGUAGAUCCUCCUCUAUGUCAGUCCAUGUGUAAUUUUUCCAUAAUUCUUUGUUUUUUGCAGCAUUUUUGUUAGUGUAACUGCAGAUUGUGCUGACAGUGUCUAUGGCACAAAAAAAAAAAAAUUUAAAAUGCCUCAACAUGAACCCCUGGUGGUCUCUGAGGGUGAAACCUGCUAACUGCUGCAGCUCUGUCAGCUUCAGUCUCCCAUGCAGAGCUCUGAGCGCAUGUGUGGCUCUGCACCCUUAGCAGCGUUGCUAACUCCUCAGUAAGGAAAGCCUGCUUCAUGUCAGAGUCUCUAAACUCCAGAAGAAGUCGAUAAAAGUCACUUUCUUUCUAAAAAAAAGUCGUUGGGGGUCUGAAAAGUCAUUGAAUCUAACAACAAAGUCGCUAGGUUUGCAACUACGUGUCCCAGACUGCAUCCCUGCUGAGAGUCCCUCCCUCCCUUCUCAUGUUGCAGGAAGAACGUAAGCGCCCGCCCCUUGUCAAUCAGUCACCAUAUAAUUUUGGAUUGGUUGUUGUGGUGAAGUUUUCCACCAAUAGGAGAGAUGUUGUGGUGUGUUUUUUUUUCUUUUGGCAAGCCUUUUCCGCCUGUAAGACCUGUCGCUAAUGUCUGCAUGCUAUGUUUUCCUGUCUCAUACAGCGCGAUCGAGCGCCGAACGUGAUCAAAAUAAGCAGAAAAAAAGUAUCGCGGACAUAAUUUAUCAUAACUCUGGUUUUAUUUGGCCUAUCAACACAAUUUAAAAACUGGUAUAUAGGUUGAGGUCCUCACUUUUGAGAUAAGUUGAAACGGAGAGUCAACGAGGCUCCGUCUUGCAGCUACAUCCGGUUAAAUAUGUCAUGUGACUUGAACGCACACACAGACACACACACACGCACACACACACACACACACACACACACACACACACACACACACACACUCAGAGUCUGGUUUUUAGCACCUGCAAAAACAUGCUAUUUACAUAUUUGACAAGAAUGCAGAGGCUCCUUUUGCCCCUGAAAAAAAAUCAAAUUUCAAACACAACUUGACUGGUCAUUUCUCCAAAAGACAACCAUGAAGCUCCAUCCAAACCUGAAGCAGGCAGUUGGUGCAUGUGUACAGUAACCUGAGGGGAGUGAGGUGAGUGCUUCUGAGGAGAACAUGAGCAGUGAAGAUUCACCUUGGAGCUAGAACAGAGACGUGCACAUGAUUAUACAGGGGCAGGGGCUCAAGUUUUUUCCAGUCGUUUAUACAAUAUGGAAAUUAAUGUGAAAUUAAAACACAAAGUAUUAAUAGAAAGGAAAUGACUGUCCUGUGUAGGUGACAGUGAUAUCCAAUAGGCUAGGCACUCACGAGGCUGGCUGUGGCAAGUGUAAGUGAAAGCAACACGCACUGGCAGGAAGAACAGCAAACGCCGAUGAAGGAAAAGGGUCUUUGCAGUGAUGGGCGUUACCAGAGAGGGCGAUGGCCAGAGGACACAAAUGGGACGGGGAGGCAGCACGUUGGGGGGGGGGGGGACGCGACACGGCUCGGGCCCGCCAGUGCCCCAACGGGGUCCUAGUUAGGGCCCGAGCGUAGCUGCUAAGCAGCUGCGAGAGCCCUAUUAUUCCCCAAGUGGUUUUUCUUUGUUUCUUUUUUCUUUUUCCUCCCCUUUGAACUGGAAAAUGGCCCACUUCCCACUGGCGAAAACUCAUGAAAUUUGGCAGGACAACCGGGCCUGGUGAAAAAUUUGAUAUUCCGAAGUCGCCCAAACAAGAAAAUGCAAAAUGGCUCCAUAGCGCCCCCUAAGGUGAAAAUUCACACUAUUGACUGUCACGCCUGUACGCUUUGUCAAAAUGACACAAAAAUUGACACACACAUGUAUCUCAAUAAGAUCUACAAAAAAGUCAGUGCGGGCGUAUCUGUCAAAUGUACGGUUAAAGGGUUAUUUCGCAUUUUUUGCCGAUCCGCACACAUUGGAAUUUCGCUAACUCCUCAGAAGGCUUUCGUUCCACCGGCACCACAUUUGCUCAGGCCAAUCUACACCCCAUGGCCAUUAAAAGUUAUUCAAAUCAUGACGAUGCACCCCACGGUUUAGGUUCUAGGGGGCGCCAAAGAUAACCCUAAAAUCCACAUUUUUAAAAGUCUUAUAACUUUUUAUUUUUGCCCUCACUGGCCUCCAAGUUUUCUAGGAUGAUGCAAUGUCCAGCCAUCAACACAUUUGUGAAUGAAUUUUUACUCCCCAAAAGAGCGCCCCCCCAUGGCAGGAGAAAAAAGUCCAUUUUUUCUUGUCCCCUAAGGUGAAAAUACACAUUGUUGAGUGUUACGCCUGUACGCUUUGGCAAAAUGACACAAAAAUUGACACACACAUGUAUCUCAAGAAGAUCUACAAAAAAGUCCAUGCGCACGUAUCUGUCUAAUGUACGGUUAAAGGGUUAUUCCGCAUUUUUUGCCGAUUCCCACACAUUGGAAUUUCGCUAACUCCUCCGAAGGCUUUCGUUCCACCGGCACCACAUUUGCUCAGGCCAAAUUACACCCCAUGGCCAUUAAAAGUUAUUCAAAUCAUGACGCUGCACCCCACGGUUUACGUUCUAGGGGGCGCCAAAGAUAACCCAAAAAUCCACAUUUUUAAAAGUCUUUUAACUUUUUAUUUUUGUCCUCACUGGCCUCCAAGUUUUCUAGGAUGAUGCAAUGUCCAGCCAUCAACACAUUUGUGAAGGAAUUUUUACUCCCUAAAAGAGCGCCCCCCCAUGGCAGGAGAAAAAAGUCCAUUUUUUCUUGUCCCCUAAGGUGAAAAUACACAUUGUUGACUGUCACGCCUGUACGCUUUGGCAAAAUGACACAAAAAUUGACAAUCAUGUGUAUCUCAAUUAGAUCUACGAAAAAGUCAAAAAGCGCGUAUCUGUAUAAUGUAUGGUAAAAGGGCUAUUUUGCAUUUUUUGCCAAUUCGCACACAUUGGAAUUUCGCUAACUCCUCCUAAGGCCUUUGUCCCACUGACACCAAAUUUGCUCAGGCCAAUCUACACUCCAUGGCCAUUCAAAGUUGUAAAAAUCAUGACGCUGCACCCCACGGUUUACGUUUUAGGGGGCGCCAAAGAUGACCCAAAUAUACAUUACAGUAGACAAAGUAGUUUUGCCCACUGAGUGGCGCCAAAGGGACUUGUCUGUGGAGUCUGUGAGUCACUAUUGGCCGUUUUUGACUACUUUAGAUUUUACCUUUAUAUUUCCUCUUACAAAAUUUUUACCUUGCCUUGCCUGGUAUCAUUUUUUUCAGCACAACCUCACCUGUGUCAAUUUACAGUUAUUUUAUCAUUUUGACAUACUAUAUUUACACAUUGGACCCAAAUUCACACACAAAACAUAAAAUCCGAGUGGAAAAAAGUAACGUUUUUACUGUGAAAACCACAAAUAUGUGUGAUGAACUGUUUUUAAAACUUAAACUUCAAAUAAAAAUUGUAAACUUCAAAACAUAUGCAAAUUUUUAACAAAGAACAUAGAAAUUUACCUCUAUUGACAUCAAAAUGCAGGCAAUGGCCCAGGUGUUCUUUGUAAAAUUAUUUACAAAACACUGUAUAGUCUCACAAAUGUCACUUUUUAUUUAUGCCACUACAAAAAAACAUGAUGUAAAUGAUGCAUGAUGUAAAACAUGAUGUAAAAAACUUGUGUAGAUCCUCCUCUAUGUUAGUCCAUGUGUAAUUUUUCCAUAAUUCUUUGUUUUUUGCAGCAUUUUUGUUAGUGUAACUGCAGAUUGUGCUGACAGUGUCUAUGGCAAAAAAAAAAAAAAAAAAAACUGAAAAUGCCUCAACAUGAACCCCUGGUGGUCUCUGAGGGUGAAACCUGCUAACUGCUGCAGCUCUGUCAGCUUCAGUCUCCCAUGCAGAGCUCGGAGCGCAUGUGUGGCUCUGCACCCUUAGCAGUGUUGCUAACUCCUCAGUAAGGAAAGCCUGCUUCAUGUCAGAGUCUCUAAACUCCAGAAGAAGUCGAUAAAAGUCACUUUCUUUCUAAAAAAAAGUCGUUAGGGGGUCUGAAAAGUCAUUGAAUCUAACAACAAAGUCGCUAGGUUUGCAACUACGUGUCCCAGACUGCAUCCCUGCUGAGAGUCCCUCCCUCCCUUCUCAUAUUGCAGGAAGAACGUAAGUUCCCGCCCCUUGUCAAUCAGUCACCAUAUAAUUUUGGAUUGGUUGUUGUGGUGAAGUUUUCCACCAAUAGGAGAGAUGUUGUGGUGUGUUUUUUUUUUCCUUUGGCAAGCCUUUUCCGCCUGUAAGACCUGUCGCUAAUGUCUGCAUGCUAUGUUUUCCUGUCUCAUACAGCGCGAUCGAGCGCCGAACGUGAUCAAAAUAAGCAGAAAACAAGUAUCGCGGACAUAAUUUAUCAUAACUCUGGUUUUAUUUGGCCUAUCAACACAAUUUAAAAACUGGUAUAUAGGUUGAGGUCCUCACUUUUGAGAUAAAUUGAAACGGAGAGUCAACGAGGCUCCGUCUUGCAGCUACAUCCAGUUAAAUAUGUCAUGUGACUUGAACGCACACACACACACACACACACACACACACACACACAACACACACACACACACACGCACACACACACACUCAGAGUCUGGUUUUUAGCACCUGCAAAAACAUGCUAUUUACAUAUUUGACAAGAAUGCAGAGGCUCCUUUUGCCCCUGAAAAAAAUCAAAUUUCAAACACAACUUGACUGGUCAUUUCUCCAAAAGACAACCAUGAAGCUCCAUCCAAACCUGAAGCAGGCAGUUGGUGCAUGUGUACAGUAACCUGAGGGGAGUGAGGUGACUGCUUCUGAGGAGAACAUGAGCAGUGAAGAUUCACCUUAGAGCUAGAACAGAGACGUGCACAUGAUUAUACAGGGGCAGGGGCUCAAGUUUUUUCCAGUUGUUUAUACAAUAUGGAAAUUAAUGUGAAAUUAAAAAACAAAGUAUUAAUAGAAAGGUAAUGACUGUCCUGUGUAGGUGACAGUGAUAUCCAAUAGGCUAGGCACUCACGAGGCUGGCUGUGGCAAGUGUAAGUGAAAGCAACACGCACUGGCAGGAAGAGCAGCAAACGCCGAUGAAGGAAAAGGGUCUUUGCAGUGAUGGGCGUUACCAGAGAGGGCGACGGCCAGAGGACGCGAAUGGGAUGGGGAGGCAGCGCGUUGGGGGGGGGGACGCGACACAGCUCGGGCCCGCCAGUGCCCCAACGGGGUCCUAGUUAUUAUUUUUCCUCCCCUUUGAACUGGAAAAUGGCCCACUUCCCACUGGCGAAAACUCAUGAAAUUUGGCAGGACGACCGGGCCUGGUGAAAAAUUUGAUAUUCCGAAGUCGGCCAAACAAUAAAAUGCAAAAUGGCUCCAUAGCGCCCCCUAAGGUGAAAAAUUCACCUGACGCCUGUACGCUUUGUCAAAAUGACACAAAAAUUGACACACACAUGUAUCUCAAUAAGAUCUACAAAAAAGUCAGUGCGGGCGUAUCUGUCAAAUGUACGGUUAAAGGGUUAUUGCGCAUUUUUUGCCGAUCCGCACACAUUGGAAUUUCGCUAACUCCUCCGAAGGCUUUCGUUCCACCGGCACCACAUUUGCUCAGGCCAAUCUACACCCCAUGGCCAUUAAAAGUUAUUCAAAUCAUGACGCUGCACCCCACGGUUUAGGUUCUAGGGGGCGCCAAAGAUAACACUAAAAUCCACAUAUUUCAAAAGUCUUAUAACUUUUUAUUUUUGUCCUCACUGGCCUCCAAGUUUUCUAGGAUGAUGCAAUGUCCAGCCAUCAACACAUUUGUGAAGGAAUUUUUACUCCCAAAAGAGCGCCCCCCCAUGGCAGGAGAAAAAAGUCCAUUUUUUCUUGUCCCCUAAGGUGAAAAUACACAUUGUUGAGUGUCACGCCUGUACGCUUUGUCAAAAUGACACAAAAAUUGACACACACAUGUAUCUCAAUAAGAUCUACAAAAAAGUCAAUGGGCGCGUAUCUGUCAAAUGUACGGUUAAAGGGUUAUUCCGCAUUUUUUGCCGAUCCGCACACAUUGGAAUUUCGCUAACUCCUCCGAAGGCUUUCGUUCCACCGGCACCACAUUUGCUCAGGCCAAUCUACACCCCAUGGCCAUUAAAAGUUAUUCAAAUCAUGACGCUGCACCCCACGGUUUACGUUCUAGGGGGCGCCAAAGAUAACCCAAAAAUCCAAAUUUUUAAAAGUCUUAUAACUUUUUAUUUUUGUCCUCACUGGCCUCCAAGUUUUCUAGGAUGAUGCAAUGUCCAGCCAUCAACACAUUUGUGAAGGAAUUUUUACUCCCCAAAAGAGCGCCCCCCCAUGGCAGGAGAAAAAAGUCAAUUUUUUCUUGUCCCCUAAGGUGGAAAUUCACACUAUUGACUGUCACGCCUGUACGCUUUAUCAUAUUGACACAAAAAUUGACACACAUAUGUAUCUCAAUAAGAUCUACAAAAAAGUCAAUGCGCGCGUAUCUGUCAAAUGUACGGUUAAAGGGCUAUUUUGCAUUUUUUGCCGAUUCGCACACAUUGGAAUGUGGCUAACUCCUCCUAAGGCUUUCGUCCCACUGACACCAAAUUUGCUCAGGCCAAUCUACACCCCAUGGCCAUUCAAAGUUGUAAAAAUCAUGACGCUGCACCCCACGGUUUACGUUCUAGGGGGCGCCAAAGAUGACCCAAAAUCCACAUUCUUAAACUUUUAUUUUGUCCCACUGGCCUCCAAGUUUUCUAGAUAUGCAUGUCAGCCAUCAACACAUUUGUGAAGGAAUUUUUCUCCCAGCCCCCCCCAAGGCAGGAGAAAAAGUCAAGUUAACCCUGCCCAUCGCUCAAUGGCUCAAUCGCAUCGCUCUCCAGGCAACACCGUAAGGAGGAGCAACCUGCCAUUUCGAUAUAUCAUAGCUGUGUUUGUGCCCUCACUCAUGGUCCAGACUUUUUUCAAAUAGGACAUGAAGUUUGUCUGCAGCGAGUGUUUUGGUAGAAACUGCGCCUCCCAUUCAUUAUAAUGGGAAAUGACCACAGACAAGUGCGCACACCAUCUUUGGACCUUGAGUGUGACGCGAUCGGGAGGGGGAGGCGGUCGCGCUAGGGGCGGCGCGACGCGGCUCGGGCCCGACAGUGCCCCACCGGGGCCCUAGUUAUUAUUUUAUUAUUAUUUUCCUCCCCUUUGAACUGGAAAAUGGCCCACUUCCCACUGGCGAAAACUCAUGAAAUUUGGCAGGACGACCGGGCCUGGUGAAAAAUUUGAUAUUCCGAAGUCGCCCAAACAAGAAAAUGCAAAAUGGCUCCAUAGCGCCCCCUAAGGUGAAAAUUCACACUAUUGACUGUCACGCCUGUACGCUUUGUCAAAAUGACACAAAAAUUGACACACACAUGUAUCUCAAUAAGAUCUACAAAAAAGUCAGUGCGGGCGUAUCUGUCAAAUGUACGGUUAAAGGGUUAUUUCGCAUUUUUUGCCGAUCCGCACACAUUGGAAUUUCGCUAACUCCUCCGAAGGCUUUUGUUCCACCGGCACCACAUUUGCUCAGGCCAAUCUACACCCCAUGGCCAUUAAAAGUUAUUCAAAUCAUGACGCUGCACCCCACGGUUUAGGUUCUAGGGGGCGCCAAAGAUAACCCUAAGAUCCACAUAUUUAAAAGUCUAAUAACUUUUUAUUUUUGCCGUCACUGGCCUCCAAGUUUUCUAGGAUGAUGCAAUGUCCAGCCAUCAACACAUUUGUGAAGGAAUUUUUACUCCCCAAAAGAGCGCCCCCCCA